AUUGAACGCUGGCGGCAUGCCUUACACAUGCAAGUCGAACGGCAGCGCGGACUUCGGUCUGGCGGCGAGUGGCGAACGGGUGAGUAAUACAUCGGAACGUACCCUGUUGUGGGGGAUAACUAGUCGAAAGAUUAGCUAAUACCGCAUACGACCUGAGGGUGAAAGUGGGGGACCGCAAGGACUCACGCAGCCGGAGCGGCCGAUGUCUGAUUAGCUAGUUGGUGGGGUAAAAGCCCACCAAGGCGACGAUCAGUAGCUGGUCUGAGAGGACGAUCAGCCACACUGGGACUGAGACACGGCCCAGACUCCUACGGGAGGCAGCAGUGGGGAAUUUUGGACAAUGGGGGCAACCCUGAUCCAGCAAUGCCGCGUGUGUGAAGAAGGCCUUCGGGUUGUAAAGCACUUUUGUCCGGAAAGAAAUCGCGCUGGUUAAUACCUGGCGUGGAUGACGGUACCGGAAGAAUAAGCACCGGCUAACUACGUG
Molecule: ribosomal RNA, 484 nt
Filed under: uncultured bacterium
Lineage: Bacteria
Description: partial 16S ribosomal RNA
Rfam family: Bacterial small subunit ribosomal RNA
Source: RNAcentral